CGUUCCUCCGCCGCCUGCUGCAUGUGCUUACCCGCCACGGAUAAUGUGAAUGACAAAGACAACAGCUUCAAACAGUGGGAUCCCUGCAAUGAACAUUAGUGUAUCAUUUGAUGGCACAUACGUCAUUCUACGCAUCAGCUGUUCUCUGGAGCUGCAGAAUACAAUUUCCACCAUAAUUAACUACAUAUCCCAAGGGUGUGAAUGCCAUAAUCCUUGGUGUAGCUGUACUUGCCCUUGCUUCUGUACCUGCCUGCCAUUCUGGUUUCAAGUAAACGAGUUUUUUUAAGAUGUCAUUUGUAGUUGUGGAGUUUCUGGAUGAAAAGGCAGUUGAAGUUGUUCCCAAGUCAUGGAUAAUGCAUAAAGAAAAAGGUCUGUUUUGUUACUGGCCUCCAAGGGCAGGUGCUGCAGCCAAGGUGAAAAGGAAGAAAUCCCAGAUAAAGAAAAAUGGAAUUCAUACGAGAUAAGGAUUUU
Long non-coding RNA from Portunus trituberculatus (swimming crab), 471 nucleotides. RefSeq lists it as uncharacterized. The record is from RefSeq and is a predicted model, not a curated record. Lineage: Eukaryota; Metazoa; Arthropoda; Malacostraca; Decapoda; Portunidae. The transcript has 4 exons.